This 737-nucleotide long non-coding RNA is filed under the name Monodelphis domestica (gray short-tailed opossum). RNAcentral's name for it is "lncRNA (ENSMODG00000051098.1)". The record is from RNAcentral. Lineage: Eukaryota; Metazoa; Chordata; Mammalia; Didelphimorphia; Didelphidae.
ACAAUUUAAAAAUUUAUUGACAUUUUUUUGUCACUUUCCUUUGCAACUAUCUCCAAUUUCUCCUUUCUCUCCAGAGAGCUUUUCCCUUUGACAAAGAACAAAAAUCAAGAAAAAAGCAAGUCAAUACUUCAGCUGAGUCUGACUGUACAUGUAAUAUUUUAUACCUAUAUUAUUUCCAACACUGUAAAUUAAGAGGAGGUUAUAUAUUUUCUUCUCUCUUUUCAGACAAGGUUUGAUCACUAAUUGCAAAGGCCUGAGCCAAGAUGAUGGCCUAACAGUAUGCAAUGCUGCUGAGCUCCUGAACAUAAGACUCCUUCAGAUACACUUAGAAAAUGUAUCAGACAAUUACCUGAAGGUGAAAUCCAGAAAAAGUCAUGGCCCCAGAAACCUCCCCAUCCGGAAGCUCACUCAGUUCCUGGACUCUACACUUGGAAGUACCCUCUGCUCCUGCAGCCUCUCCUUCUGUUUGGCUGGUCCCUGCUGGAACCUCCAUUUAAGUAGGGUGCCCUGUCAGCCUCAUUUGUCUGGGCUGAUUGCCUAACCACCUUUCUCUACAAUGCCCCAGGAACUGGGAACCUUCAUCUCGGCUGCCUCUUCUUCCUCAGCUCUACCUUGCCAGCUUCCUUUUAGAAUGCUUGCAUCCUGAGGCAGAGGCAGGGGCUACUUUUCUUUCUAAUCAUAUUUGUAUGCCAGCAUAUUGUCUGGCACUUAGUAAGUAAAUGCUUUCUGAAUUCGCU